RNAcentral lists this ribosomal RNA (588 nucleotides) under uncultured delta proteobacterium. RNAcentral describes it as "bacterial SSU rRNA". It matches the Rfam family "Bacterial small subunit ribosomal RNA", at positions 338 to 916 of the family's 1533-position model. The record is from RNAcentral. Lineage: Bacteria; Deltaproteobacteria.
CCUACGGGAGGCAGCAGUGGGGAAUAUUGCGCAAUGGGGGAAACCCUGACGCAGCGACGCCGCGUGGGUGAUGAAGGCCUUCGGGUCGUAAAGCCCUGUCGUAGGGGAAGAAAUCGUUGUCGGUUAAUACCCGGCAGCGUUGACGGUACCCUGCAAGAAAGCACCGGCUAACUCCGUGCCAGCAGCCGCGGUAAUACGGAGGGUGCGAGCGUUGUUCGGAAUCACUGGGCGUAAAGCGCGUGUAGGCGGCAGGUUAAGUCUGGUGUGAAAGCCCGGGGCUCACCCCCGGAAGUGCGCUGGAAACUGGCCAGCUAGAGUAUGGGAGAGGGAAGCGGAAUUCCUGGUGUAGCGGUGAAAUGCGUAGAUAUCAGGAGGAACACCGGCGGCGAAGGCGGCUUCCUGGACCAAUACUGACGCUGAGACGCGAAAGCGUGGGGAGCAAACAGGAUUAGAUACCCUGGUAGUCCACGCCGUAAACGAUGGGUACUAGGUGCCGGGGGUGUUGACCCCUCCGGUGCCGUAGCUAACGCAUUAAGUACCCCGCCUGGGGACUACGGUCGCAAGAUUAAAACUCAAAGGAAUUGACGG